RNAcentral lists this ribosomal RNA (642 nucleotides) under Salmonella enterica. Its description in RNAcentral is "partial 23S ribosomal RNA". It matches the Rfam family "Bacterial large subunit ribosomal RNA", at positions 1 to 688 of the family's 2925-position model. Lineage: Bacteria; Pseudomonadati; Pseudomonadota; Gammaproteobacteria; Enterobacterales; Enterobacteriaceae. The record is from RNAcentral.
AGCGACUAAGCGUACACGGUGGAUGCCCUGGCAGUCAGAGGCGAUGAAGGGCGUGCUAAUCUGCGAUAAGCGCCGGUAAGGUGAUAUGAACCGUUAUAACCGGCGAUACCCGAAUGGGGAAACCCAGUGUGAUUCGUCACACUAUCAUUAACUGAAUCCAUAGGUUAAUGAGGCGAACCGGGGGAACUGAAACAUCUAAGUACCCCGAGGAAAAGAAAUCAACCGAGAUUCCCCCAGUAGCGGCGAGCGAACGGGGAGGAGCCCAGAGCCUGAAUCAGCAUGUGUGUUAGUGGAAGCGUCUGGAAAGGCGCGCGAUACAGGGUGACAGCCCCGUACACAAAAGCGCAUGUGCUGUGAGCUCGAUGAGUAGGGCGGGACACGUGGUAUCCUGUCUGAAUAUGGGGGGACCAUCCUCCAAGGCUAAAUACUCCUGACUGACCGAUAGUGAACCAGUACCGUGAGGGAAAGGCGAAAAGAACCCCGGCGAGGGGAGUGAAAAAGAACCUGAAACCGUGUACGUACAAGCAGUGGGAGCACAGGUUUACCUGUGUGACUGCGUACCUUUUGUAUAAUGGGUCAGCGACUUAUAUUCUGUAGCAAGGUUAACCGAAUAGGGGAGCCGGAGGGAAACCGAGUCUUAAC